Molecule: long non-coding RNA, 355 nt
Organism: Protopterus annectens (West African lungfish)
Lineage: Eukaryota; Metazoa; Chordata; Ceratodontiformes; Protopteridae
Exons: 2
Source: RefSeq, a predicted model, not a curated record
CAUCAUCAUCCGGAUCUGAUUGAAACAAGAGCCUGAACUGAGCAUACAGCAUUGCCUGCCAGUGUCGGCCCUGUCUUGACUGAACAGAUAGCUGUACUGAAUAGGUUUGGAGUCCCCCUAUCAGUGGCAAAGAUGAUAUUCUUAAUGCAUAUGCUUGUAAGUACAUGAUUUAAUAGUUAUUUUAUGUGAUAGGUUAUAGGAUAGAUUUUGCAUGUUAAUGUGAUAGGUUAUAGGAUAGAUUUUGCAUGUUAAUGUGAUAGGUUAUAGGUUAGAUUUUGCAUGUUGACUAGUCAAUUGUUUAUUAUUGUCACAACCUUAAUUGUUAAAAGCUUCAAAAUAAAAUUGCUAAGUUUGA